AUAUAAUUCCAUUUUUCUUUAAGUCAUCAGGUAAAAUAGUAAUAAUUUUUUAAAAAAAAGCUUGACAGUUUUAUUUAACUUUUUUAAAAAUAUUAUAUGAAAGUUAUUCUACAAUGUAGCAUUUUAUUCCAGGUUUAAUUAGAAUAAUAAUAAGAAAAAUAAGAAGAAAAAUCAAAAAUAGAGAAAAAAUUGAUUAACAAUAUAGAUUCAAAAGUACUCUCCACAUUGCUUUCAGUUAUUUGAGUUUUUGUUUUACAAGUGGAUUAAACGAUACUAAGUUUCAACUUUUCACUCCUUUUCCGUGGGAGCAAGUUCUACACAAGGAUUGCUACCCCUACACUAGCUACCCCUACAUUUAUUUACAUUGUUGCACGCGUGUGUUUACAUACGCCGAAUUCAAUGGUAAGUUCUUUUAUUCCUUACUUUAAUUAUUACUAUUUUAGAAUGUUAAUUCAUUAUAAUGCUUCACUGUCAAAAAAAGUAAAUAAUUAUUGUAGUUAAUUCUGCUUGAAAUAAACACAAAUAUUCUAAGCCUAUCAUUUGCGAAGUUUAACAAACUAUGACAAAACGUAACGAUUUUGGAAAAAAGCAAGAGAAUUUGUUGAAUCUCAUUUACUGUGCUUAAUGUAAAGAGACGAAAUACAGACCCGUUAUAUACGAUUGUUAUGCAGUUAAGAUAUUUUUAAUAAAAUCAUGAAUUUUUGGAAAGUUUUCUGAUGGUACCUAAGCUUAAUCAAGGAAUAUUAAUCUGAAAUACUGAGUUAAACUAGUUGCGAUCUUAUGUAAAAAAAAAUUCUAUUUUAAAGCUUUAAUUAUCAAAAUUAUUAAAUUAAUGCUGCAUUAUUUUAUUCACCUGACAAAUUUUGUUGCUAUAAUAAAUAACAAUUAACAAAAAGUAACAAUUAUAAGCAUUAUUCUGAAGAUAAUACUUAAAUGUCAUUAAUCAUGGUUGACUUUACACACCAAAAUAUGAGUAGAGGGGAUAUUUUCCUUCUGUGAUUUGCUGCGCCUACUAUUGUGGAUUUCAAACUUGCAUACAUUUAUAAAAGAAAACUUGUAGAGGUUUGCCAGGGGGUAGUGGCUACAAGAUAUACCCUGUUGAGUUUCUUCCCAUGUUUUGUUUUCAGUGUGAUGAUAGCCACUGGAAGUUACCAAGACCUGUUGAUUAUUCUGCCACAGGUGAUGAUAAACUAAUUUUCCGGAGUGGAAAAGAAUUUUAGCUAGAUUUAUAAUGUAAAUUUUUCUGUUUCACUAAUUUUAGGGGAUAUUUCCAUAUAUUAACCUGUCACACUAACUACAAUAGCCAAGCUACCAAAUAGAUAUAAACUUGAAAUUUUUUUUGAAAAAAACAUGAAUGUUUGCCAAAUGGUUACGAGUUAUAUCUUUCGAGUUGGUCCCUUUCUGUGAUUUUUUAACUUUCUUUCAGUUUCUCCGAUACCAGAAGUUGCCAAGACGUGCUGAUUAUUCUGCCAUUGUUCCUUUUAUAGAGAUCUCCCCUGAUUUUAUGAAUCAAAUAAAAGGGGAUGUUUCCCUAUUUGAACUAGAUUGUGCCAACUAAAAAUGUUGAAACAAAAAAAAAAAUAUAUAUUUUGUACUUUGCAAAAAUUUAAAAAGAAGUAUGUAGAAGUUUUCCUGAGGGUUGCUUCAACUUAUAUUCUCUGAGUUACUCCCAUUCUGAGAUAUUUUCUUAAUUUUUCGUGGACCGCUGGAAGUUUAUAAAUAUUUAUCCAUAGGUAACAACAUAGAAAUACUCAUUAAACUUUUAAUUCCCUAUUAGGGUUACUUCUGUAUUGUGAGCAGUUAUGCCAACUGCUAUCGUCCAGGCACCAAAUAGAUUUCUAACUGCUAACUUUUUAAAAGAAUAUGUAAAGGUGUGCGAAAGGUAGCUACGAGUUAUACUCUUCAAGUUGAUCUCCGUUCGUUAAUUUUUUUUAGUUCCUCCUGGUUGCUGCGUGGAAGUUGCUUAGAAGAUAUAGUGAUUAUUCACCGGCAGAUCAUGAUACGGGCAUUUUUCUUACUGUUUUGCCUACUCAGUACGAGAUGGCAUUUUUAUUAGCAAAUGAGACGAGACAAGUGUUAUGUGUGAAACAGUCCUAUCAUAUUGUUAUUAAUUUGAGCUGUCUUAUCUACUUACCUACUAUUGUCUUAUAAAGUAUAAAAACUAUUAGUUGUUGCAUUUUUAAAAAAGUUGAGUAGUGGCAUUUUCUUUUAACUUUACCUUUUUAAAGAACCAAGGGUUAAACACGCUUGAUUGGUGUAAAUUUUACAAGAGUCUAUAGCAGAUGGUUCUUCAACCAAAAUGUCGUGGAAGUAUCAUCUUAACAAGCUAUUGCAAGAGAAAAUCUCACAUGGACAAAAUAGUUUUUUGACUAUUUAUUUUGCAACAUGAUAUCUUUAAAAAGAAAAAAAAAAAACCCAGUUGAACAUUUACUGGAAAUUUUUCUUCUUAUUUUUGAAACAGUUUUUGAAAUUUAUCAGCUAAAACGAUAUGGAAAAUAAUUGCAGUAAUUUUCAAUAUUAAAUUAUCUUUAGAAUUAUUCUUAUUCAAGCUUUUAUUUAAAUUUACAUUGCUGUUUAAAACUUUUUUAAUUCUUUUAUAGUCACUGUAUUCUAAAAAUAUGCCUAGGCAGAGGUCUGUCAAGGCCAAAUUUACUACCGUUUAGCAGUACCUUCACAAAUUCAACUUUAGAAAAAACAUUAGUUUCACAAAAUACUUUUUCUUAUAAUUUUAUUUUUGUAUUCCUUAAGAAACGAUAAAUCCAUAUUUUUGUGUUGAUUUUUUAAUGUAGUUUUUAAUUUUUCACAAAUUAUGUCUAAAUUUUCAUAAAAUAGGUACCUAUCAGAAAAACCUAGACAGACCCUUGCUAGGUGAAAAAGUUCAAUUGAAAUUUUUAUUGCUAAAUUUUUCUUUUAAACAAUUUUUGUCUUGGUUUUUACCUAGCUUUUUACAUUUCUAAAAAACUUUGUUUUUAUUAACUGUAUGACACAGUAAUUAAGAAUGUUUCUAUUGUCUUUAUUCUUAUCUGGAAAAUAUGAUAAUUGGAAAGACUGAGAUGUAAAGCUUUAAAAUUUCAUUUUGAGAAUUAAAAUAGAUUUUUCUGUUUUACAUUUGUAUAUAAUCUUUUGUUUUUUUUAGCAUUUUUAAGAUAACACAGCAUUUUAAUAACAUAUUUCUAAUAGAUUAUAUUUUAGUUAAUGUUGCUUUAUGGAUACUGCUUUACAAAAAAUAUUAUUCUUAGCAUGGAAGUUUUGUUGUAACAAUUAUGAUAAUUUUUUUUUCUCUUUCUAUUUUACUUCAUAACUUUAUUAAGUAUUUCUGGUUUAGUUUUUUGUUUUCCCUUUAGCCCAUUCCACUAAUAUAGAUAAGCAUGGAGUAAUUUCCAAUAAUAAAUAAACUUAUUUAUUCGUAAAAAAUAUUUAUUAAUGAAUUUUUUUUUUUAAAAAUAUUGCUAUAAAAAUAUAUUCUGCAUUUCACCAUUUUUUUUAGCUAACAUUCUGCCAAACCAUUACUCCUUACUUCUCUAGUUCUGAAUAAUAAAUGUGCCCGUAUAAACAAAACAAAAUAUGUUUGAAUUAUUUCUAUGUUUUUAAACGUAUUAACUGAAUGAAUUUUCUUUUUCAUAAUCUAUUGAUGUACUUCUGAGGAAGAUCUUUGAAAAGGAUCUAGCUUUGAGAAUGAACCUCCAUCAAGUCUCAUUUGAAGGUACCUGAAUUAAGAACAUUGCAGUGAAGAGGUGAUAGUAACAACAGGAUGGAAGAAGUUAUGAAUGUUUCAGAUCUGUGGCGAUGUGUUAUAAUUGUAAAUCUAUAUAUUGUAAAUAUAUUGUAUGAUAGUUGUAAAAUAAAUAAAACUUAAUAAAUCUUA
Molecule: long non-coding RNA, 3865 nt
Organism: Parasteatoda tepidariorum (common house spider)
Lineage: Eukaryota; Metazoa; Arthropoda; Arachnida; Araneae; Theridiidae
Source: RefSeq, a predicted model, not a curated record